UCCUGGGUGGCUCAGUGGUAAAGAAUCUGCCUGCCAAGCAGAACACCUGGGUUUGAUCCCUGGGUUAGGAA
This 71-nucleotide transfer RNA is filed under the name Ovis aries (sheep). It matches the Rfam family "tRNA". Rfam says of the family: Transfer RNA (tRNA) molecules are approximately 80 nucleotides in length. Their secondary structure includes four short double-helical elements and three loops (D, anti-codon, and T loops). Lineage: Eukaryota; Metazoa; Chordata; Mammalia; Artiodactyla; Bovidae. The record is from Rfam by way of RNAcentral.